UACGAAGGUGGCAAGCGUUACUCGGAAUUACUAGGCGUAAAGGGCAGGUAGGUGGUCUGAUAAGUCUGUUGUGAAAGCUCCCGGCCCAACUGGGAGAGGUCAACAGAAACUAUCAGGCUUGAGUAUGGGAGAGGGUACUGGAAUUCCUGGUGUAGCGGUGAAAUGCGCAGAGAUCAGGAGGAACACCGAUGGCGAAGGCGGCCGGCUGGGCCAUACCUGACGCUGAGGCGCGAAAGCGUGGGGAGCGAACCGG
Molecule: ribosomal RNA, 253 nt
Filed under: uncultured bacterium
Lineage: Bacteria
Description: partial 16S ribosomal RNA
Rfam family: Bacterial small subunit ribosomal RNA
Source: RNAcentral